This 1255-nucleotide ribosomal RNA is filed under the name Medauroidea extradentata. RNAcentral's name for it is "SSU rRNA". The stretch from base 284 to 1255 matches the Rfam family "Eukaryotic small subunit ribosomal RNA". The record is from RNAcentral. Lineage: Eukaryota; Metazoa; Arthropoda; Insecta; Phasmatodea; Phasmatidae.
GCCCAGCAUGCUCCUGCUACUGUCGGUGCCAGGGUUGGCAAGAUUGUCAUACUGCCUUCCUCUUUCUAUGGUUCAGCCAGGCAGAUGCACCAUUCGUACCAAGAUUCCAUUGCGAUUAUGCGCAACUUCGGAAGACCUGACUUAUUCAUCACCUUCACUUGCAACCCUAAGUGGCCGGAAAUUAUCCUUCCUCUCCAAGGUCAACAGCAGGCGUGCCAUCGCCCAGACUUGGUGUGCCGUGUGUUUAAGGUCAAACUCGAUGCUCUCAUUGAAGACAUUGUCAAACACCAAAUUUUUGGCAAAGUUGAUGCCUACGUUUACACUAUUGAAUUUCAAAAACGUGGCUUGCGGCAUGCACACAUUCUCCUCAUCCUCGACAAACAAGACAAGGUACGGACGCCCGAAGAGGCCAACAAAAUUUGUCACGCAGUUAGAGGUUCGAAGACGAUCAGAUACCGCCUUAGUUCUAACCAUAAACGAUGCCAGCAAGCGAUCCGCCGGAGUCCGAUGACUCGGCGGGCAGCUUCCGGGAAACCAAAGCUUUUGGGUUCCGGGGGAAGAACAGUUGCAAAGCUGAAACUUAAAUGAAUUGACGGAAGGGCACCACCAGGAGUGGAGUCUGCGGCUUAUUUUGACUCAACACGGGAAACCUCACCAGGCCCGGACACCAAAAGGAUUGACAGAUUGAGAGCUCUUUCUUGAUUCGGUGGGUGGUGGUGCAUGGCCGUUCUUAGUUGGUGGAGCGAUUUGUCUGGUUAAUUCCGAUAACGAACGAAACUCUGGCCUGCUAACUAGUCGCUUCCGGUAUCCCUUCGUGCUACCAGCGACAAAUAUUCUUCUUAGAGGGACAGGCGGCUUCUAGCCGCACGAGAUUGAGCAAUAACAGGUCUGUGAUGCCCUUAGAUGUUCUGGGCCGCAUGCGCGCUACACUGAAGGAAUCAGCGUGUCCUCCUAGCCCGAAAGGGCCGGGUAACCUGUUGAACCUCCUUCGUGCUAGGGAUUGGGGCUUGCAAUUGUUCCCCAUGAACGAGGAAUUCCCAGUAAGUGCGAGUCAAAAGCUCGCGUUGAUAACGUCCCUGCCCUUUGUACACACCGCCCGUCGCUACUACCGAUUGAAUGAUUUAGUGAGGUCUUCGGACCGGUGCGCGACGGCUCGCUCGUCGAGUCGUUGAUGUUGCUAGAAAGAUGACCAAACUUGAUCAUUUAGAGGAAGUAAAAGUCGUAACAAGGAUUUCUGUAAGUGAACCUGUGGAAG